GGAGCCUCUUCUCGGCUUGGAAAGCCUGUCCUGACUCCUCCACCCACAGAAACCUGUCUCCCAAAUCCUUGCCUGGCCUGGCCCUCAGACAAGCAUCCACCUGCAAUGCUGAGCGGGGUGGCCCCAGAGCAGCAGAGCCAAGAAGGAGCAGGGGAGGGAGUACUCACAGCAAUGGAGACAGCGCUGAUGACAGCUCCCAGGAGCCCUGUUUGCUGCGAGACUGUUACCUGCCAGAAGACAGUGGAUGCCAGUGUCUGGUUGGGCAAGAGAAGACCGACUACCUAUGAGCAAGAGAGAAGAAAUGCUGAAAAAGGCAAAAGAAACAUCCUAUGCUUUUGCAAAGAAAAAAUACGCUACCACAAAUGAGUGAGCUGGAUCUGUACAAACUGAUGUGGUAUGCCGUGUACAUACAAACUGAGGUUCAUUGAGGGAGAGGCUGUGUGAUGGGAAAAAAGCAAGUUGCAG
This 465-nucleotide long non-coding RNA is filed under the name Pan troglodytes (chimpanzee). RNAcentral's name for it is "long non-coding RNA NONPTRT010152". The record is from RNAcentral. Lineage: Eukaryota; Metazoa; Chordata; Mammalia; Primates; Hominidae.